UUAUUACUCUGAUUUUAGGCAGUGGUGGAGGGAGGGGGUGGCAUUCACCUAGUCCUUCCUUGAAGGACAGUCAUUCUACUUGCUUUGCAAAGGGCUAGAAGGUAGACUGUGUGGGGAAGCUGGCAAGAGCAGUUUUCUUUUCAGAGCCAGUUUCCAUGGUGCCUGACAACACUUGGCAAUCCACAGCUGGGGAGUCUUGGACAGCCAGGGGGGCCCAGGGCCUUAUCUCACCCGGGCCACCCUCCAAGGCCUCUGGCCUCUCUGGGCCCCCAGAGUGAGAGGCCACAGCCUGGACUGCAAGGACCAGAUAACCAUGUACGGUCCCCUUCGAUUCCCAGUGUGUUUACACCUGCUGUGGUCCCCACAUCCUAGAAAGGACCAACUGCACCCAGACAGGUUGGGACACUUCCAGGCGGGACGAAGAGAGGAGAGACAUGUGCCUUACCUGUUCCUGGGAGUUCAUCACUCGCAACUUCAUCUGCUUCAGACACUUCCUCUUGGUUCCGUGGCAGAGGGUUCUGACACCGCUGCACGUUGGCGCCUUCGCACAGACGACUGGCACGGCGAGGGGACUGAAGUCGGUUUCAGCGUCCGUUAGUCCUCUUCUUGCUGCCCCACCCUCAACCCAGACUUGACCUCUUUAAGCCCAGGAGCACAUUGGGACCUCCCUCCCCCACACAGCGACGGGGCUGGAGGCCGUAUGUGAGGCGGACAUUUGAGCAACCACAUUGA
Molecule: long non-coding RNA, 732 nt
Organism: Panthera uncia (snow leopard)
Lineage: Eukaryota; Metazoa; Chordata; Mammalia; Carnivora; Felidae
Exons: 3
Source: RefSeq, a predicted model, not a curated record